GACGAACGCUGGCGGCGUGCUUAACACAUGCAAGUCGAACGGAAAGGCCCUGCUUUUGUGGGGUGCUCGAGUGGCGAACGGGUGAGUAACACGUGAGUAACCUGCCCUUGACUUUUGGAUAACUUCAGGAAACUGGGGCUAAUACCGGAUAGGAGCUCCUGCUGCAUGGUGGGGGUUGGAAAGUUUCGGCGGUUGGGGAUAGACUCGCGGCUUAUCAGCUUGUUGGUGGGGUAGUGGCUUACCAAGGCUUUGACGGGUAGCCGGCCUGAGAGGGUGACCGGCCACAUUGGGACUGAGAUACGGCCCAGACUCCUACGGGAGGCAGCAGUGGGGAAUAUUGCACAGUGGGCGGAAGCCUGAUGCAGCAACGCCGCGUGCGGGAUGACGGCCUUCGGGUUGUAAACCGCUUUCGCCUGUGACGAAGCGUGAGUGACGGUAAUGGGUAAAGAAGCACCGGCUAACUACGUG
This 468-nucleotide ribosomal RNA is filed under the name uncultured bacterium. RNAcentral's name for it is "partial 16S ribosomal RNA". It matches the Rfam family "Bacterial small subunit ribosomal RNA", at positions 28 to 507 of the family's 1533-position model. The record is from RNAcentral.